UCACGUCUGUGCGUGAUCGUGCUCAAAGUUUUCAGGUACUCUGGCCUUUCAAUGACGUGAACUCUUCGUCUUUUAGGAGUCAGCCCUUUGGAGUUUCUUCUUCAGACAUGUGCAGGAUGAAGAGUUCAGAGGACACAGCUGGAGAGAAGGGGAAGACUAGCACCAUAAGUAACAAUUCAUGUAUCCUGUUUCAGGGGUGGAUUUAGUGAUUUGGGUGCCCCGGACAAACUCAGGCACAGGGCCUCCCUCAGAAUGAGAAGACAUGGAAGGACAAGCUCAAACCUCACCAGCUGGCUGUCAACCCAAAAAUAUACCUUUGAUGACUCCCCCUGUCAAGACCUGCUCACAGGAGAGCCUGAAACUGUCACAGUAGAGCUGCAGUCCUGAAUGUGUUUUACCAUCGGAAUUUUACUGUAGUUAAGACACACACUUAUUCUGAGGAUGCACCGGCAGAAUAACAAAGGAAAACACACCUCUCCUUUGGCACUGGUGUCCUGUACAAAGAAAAACAAUGAGUGAGCCCCGAUAGCACUGGCAUGAAACUCCAGAAAGAUGUUCUUUGCUUGGUGUGGAGUACGAUCUACCUUCACAAGAUGAUGCUGCUGCUCAUCGUGCUUUCUAUGGCAGUGGUAAUGAAGUUCCCCAUCUAGGGAUUACAUUGCAUAAAUAUCUGAAAUGACAAAAUUCAA
Molecule: long non-coding RNA, 689 nt
Organism: Siniperca chuatsi (mandarin fish)
Lineage: Eukaryota; Metazoa; Chordata; Actinopteri; Centrarchiformes; Sinipercidae
Exons: 4
Source: RefSeq, a predicted model, not a curated record